UCUGGUGGCGAUAGCGAAGAGGUCACACCCGUUUCCAUACCGAACACGGAAGUUAAGCUCUUUAGCGCCAAUGGUAGUUGGGACUUUGUCCCUGUGAGAGUAGGACGUUGCCAGGC
Molecule: ribosomal RNA, 116 nt
Filed under: Priestia megaterium
Lineage: Bacteria; Bacillati; Bacillota; Bacilli; Caryophanales; Bacillaceae
Also listed under: 2 other names
Source: RNAcentral